RNAcentral lists this non-coding RNA (30 nucleotides) under Rattus norvegicus (Norway rat). The record is from RNAcentral. Lineage: Eukaryota; Metazoa; Chordata; Mammalia; Rodentia; Muridae.
UUGNGAAAAAUGCCUUACACCUGGAUCUCA